This 492-nucleotide ribosomal RNA is filed under the name uncultured bacterium. Its description in RNAcentral is "partial 16S ribosomal RNA". It matches the Rfam family "Bacterial small subunit ribosomal RNA", at positions 29 to 507 of the family's 1533-position model. The record is from RNAcentral.
AGUGAACGCUGGCGGUAGGCCUAACACAUGCAAGUCGAACGGCAGCACAGUAAGAGCUUGCUCUUACGGGUGGCGAGUGGCGGACGAGUGAGGAAUACAUCGGAAUCUACUUUUUCGUGGGGGAUAACGUAGGGAAACUUACGCUAAUACCGCAUACGACCUACGGGUGAAAGCAGGGGAUCUUCGGACCUUGCGCGAUUGAAUGAGCCGAUGUCGGAUUAGCUAGUUGGCGGGGUAAAGGCCCACCAAGGCGACGAUCCGUAGCUGGUCUGAGAGGAUGAUCAGCCACACUGGAACUGAGACACGGUCCAGACUCCUACGGGAGGCAGCAGUGGGGAAUAUUGGACAAUGGGCGCAAGCCUGAUCCAGCCAUACCGCGUGGGUGAAGAAGGCCUUCGGGUUGUAAAGCCCUUUUGUUGGGAAAGAAAAGCAGCAGGUUAAUACCCCGCUGUUCUGACGGUACCCAAGGAAUAAGCACCGGCUAACUUCGUG